This 98-nucleotide transfer RNA is filed under the name Thelonectria olida. It matches the Rfam family "tRNA". Rfam says of the family: Transfer RNA (tRNA) molecules are approximately 80 nucleotides in length. Their secondary structure includes four short double-helical elements and three loops (D, anti-codon, and T loops). Further hydrogen bonds mediate the characteristic L-shaped molecular structure. tRNAs have two regions of fundamental functional importance: the anti-codon, which is responsible for specific mRNA codon recognition, and the 3' end, to which the tRNAs corresponding amino acid is attached (by aminoacyl-tRNA synthetases). tRNAs cope with the degeneracy of the genetic code in two manners: having more than one tRNA (with a specific anti-codon) for a particular amino acid; and 'wobble' base-pairing, i.e. permitting non-standard base-pairing at the 3rd anti-codon position. Lineage: Eukaryota; Fungi; Ascomycota; Sordariomycetes; Hypocreales; Nectriaceae. The record is from Rfam by way of RNAcentral.
GCCCGGUUAGCUCAAUCGGUAGAGCGUGAGACUCUUACGAGUACACAACUCUGAAAUCAAACAUCUCAAGGCUGCGGGUUCGACCCCCGCAUUGGGCU